UCCACGCCCUCGUGCUCACCUCCUCACACAGAAGCAACGCAGACACACAAGGAAAGCGCGCGCGUGGAGCGAUGUUGCGUCGCCUGCACACGCGAAUCAUUGGCAUGGGCUCCGUCUGUGGCCACGCGCCGUCCCCGCCGGCAGAGCUGUUCCUCAAGACCCUUCCCUCGCCAUGCGACGUUGACCCGGCGAAGUACCGCCGCUUCCAGAGAGAGGAAACGGAAGCGCACGCCGCGCGGCCGCCCCUCACGACUGCUCCUGCCUCUCCGUUGAGCGCCCCAGAGCCGUUUUACGACGUGGUCGAUGCAGCAGCGGGACACAAGCACGUGGCCAUGCUCACGCGUGAGGGCAACCUCAUCACCGUCGGCGACAACCGGUACGGACAGACCGGGGCACUGAACUCGGAAGUGGAGGACAGCGGCGGUGACGCGGCGGCUUCCCCAUCUCUCUCCCGCAGCAGCACUCGCCAUGGCAGCGGAAGCAGCAGCGUCGUGCGUGCCUCGUCCGUCGUGGCCGAUCUUGACCCGCUCUACAUCGACCUCGACGGGGCGUUUCCGCAAACCGGUUCCUCCGUCAUCCGCGUCGCGUGCGGCUCGAACUUCACCCUGGUCUACCAGCGCAACGGUCGCCGUGUCAUUGCGUUUGGCAACAACCACAUGGGGCAGCUGGGGGUGGGGCACAAGCAGCGCAUAGACGGCGUGCGCGGGUUCAUGGAAUGGGAUCCGACGGCGUCGUGGUGGCCAGCAGGGCGGGCGAGUGUGCUAGAGACCGUGUACUGCGGCUUCAAUCACGCAGUGGCCACACUGAGCGACGGCGGACUCUACGCAUUUGGAUGCAACAACUGGGGGGAGCUCGGCAUCGGCAACAGCGACGCGCCAAUGUCGCCGACACGGAUCGCGUUCUUCGAGGAGCGCGGCAUGCGCGUCGUCAAAGUGGCCCUCGGCAACUCCUUCACCCUUUUUCUCACGAAGGAGGGACGCGUGUUUGGGUGCGGCGCGACAAACGGUGGCCAGCUGCCGCCGAACGCGUUCGACCCGGUGCCCAUCCCCCUCAUACGCUCUUUCCAGCAGCACGGAAGCGAUGAGGCGCCGCAUACGGUGGACGGCGCGCCAAAGCUGAUUCGCGUGAAGGACAUCGCCUGUGUCGGCAGCCUCGCCGCCUUUUUGAGCGCCAAGAACGAGCUCCUGAUUCAAGGGUCGCUGCCUGAGUACGGUGUCAUGAUCCCGUCGCCGCGCUUCGCGGCAGUGGACCAGGGCCCGGCGCUCAAGUACUUCGCCGCGCGCAUGGGUGCACAGACGUCGGAGACGGACUACGAUAUUGUGGGGCUGACGGGUGGUCCAUCCACGCUUCUGGUGCGGUAUCGCAACGGCUGCGUCGCCGCCCUCGGGGCCAACACAGAGGGUCAGCUGCACAAUGUCACCAAGGUCCUCAACGGCCAGCGCGUCAACCUCGCGCCAGCCUUCAAAGCGACCGAGCUUUUCCCGGUGUUUGUGCCGGCGGCGCCGCUGUGGGGCGCGGCGUGGUUUGCGUCGGGCAAGGGGUUCAACCUGCUUUUCGACAAGAACGAGGCCUACCACGUGCCUGAGGGCGCUGCGCCGAUUGAGCUGCCGCCCGGGAGCGGCAAUGCGCGGUGCGUCGCCCUCAAUCGCCAGCAGCGCCUUCGCGCAUCGCUCAAAUGAGCCGCAACACGCGUGCAUUUUGGUGGGUGCCCG
Molecule: unclassified non-coding RNA, 1712 nt
Filed under: Leishmania donovani
Lineage: Eukaryota; Euglenozoa; Kinetoplastea; Trypanosomatida; Trypanosomatidae
Description: gene:LdHU3.31.4930(CDS-product:Regulator_of_chrom osome_condensation_(RCC1)_repeat_putative)
Source: RNAcentral